ACCGGUUCUGUCCACCAGGGUCGUGUGGAUUAGUGCACAGAGUCUCUGAUCACCACCACCACCAUCACCAUCAUCAUCAUCAUCAUCAUCACACACUCACGGUGCCAUUAAACCCACCUGCUGUGGAUCCUCCUCAGGAUGCUUCAUGAUUGGCCCCGCCUCCUUCUUCUCCUGUUCUGUGUCUGAAUGGAAAAGAAUGAAAAGCAAGUGAUCCCAGCUGAAGAUGCUGAAAGUCUCACUGAUUCUAUUAAUACAGAACCACAACCCGGAGAAAAGAGAUGAGAGGGCGAGAGAGCGUCUACAAAUUACAGCCUCAAACCUGAAAUGAAAAGGCAAAGGAGCCUCUCCAAAUGACAAAAAAACAAACCUGUAUUUAAGUUCUAGUAAGAAGACAUCUACAGGGAAAAGAUCUACAAACCAAAUCUGAAAGGAAAAAUACGAGAGAGUCAACAAAUUACAACCUCACGUCGUCAAACAUCUUGAAAAACUCGUACAACAGCAAUUAGCCUGCUCGAGUUAAAACACCUAAAAUCAAUAAACCACACAGUUUAACUGUAAACGGGACGUGAAGCAACAAGGGAAUGUUUAAAAAGUGUAACUGUAAUUGAUUACAGAUAAAAACCUGAAACAGCAGAAAGAUUACGGCUGCAAAGUGAAGAAAAACAGCAAGGGAGCGUCAAUAAAUUAUUAAAUGUAAAAGCCCAAAACAGAGCAUCAAGUGGAAGCUCAGUGAUUAAGGGAUUGGACUGUGGAUCGGAAGCUCCACAAAGCUGCCAGUGUUGGGCCCUUGAGCAACGCCCUCGUAAUUCAUUUAGGGAAAUGAAGUCGCAAAGAAGUUUCAGGAAACUGAACGCAAACCACACAGAAAGCGUUUGCAAAUUCUAACCACGAACUAAAAGGAAGUGUCAGCGUUAACGUCCACGAAGUGCAACUGCUAAUGAACAAACACAAAGUGGACGGAAAAACAUCCACAGAAUAAAGACGAGACGGAGAGCGAUCGCCUGCAAACCCGUGACGAGAGAUGUUAGGAAAAAGAUUUCUUAUAGCAUUUUAUUUUCCAACUUUCAGAAAAGACUUUUUUUAAACAUUAUUUCACUCUUCAGGAUCACAGGAAGAAGUCAUUUGAAGACAUCACACCCACAGAUGAACCACAAAGCAACCCGUCAGCAGACCCACAACGGCUUCUCUCUCAUCACGACACCUACGACCCUCUGCUCCAGCUUUCUAUAGUUCUUUUGAUCUUUGAAGAAUCCGUUCUUACGGCACAUUAACCGCAUCCUCGUACUGAUCAUCCUGCGACGGUCAUCAUGAACCCCAGCCGGAUGCGAGGUCUGGACUGCAGAGUGAACCUGAUGGUCCAGUACGCCAGGCAGCUGACUCGCAGCCUCCUCCUGCUCGCCCACUACAUGGCAGUGUUUGUGAGUUUCACGUCUCGCUCCGCAGGUUGGUUUAUGGAGGCCAUCAGAUGGACGACGUUCUCCGUGAGAUGUGUAGCGUCUCUGUUCGACUCCGUACACAGGAGCCUGAGCAGGCUGAGCCGGAGAUGCACCGGGAUCGCCGUGGAGAUCCGGUCAGGGAAAGAGUCGGACUCGGAGUGAGGUCUGGACAUAAAACGUUUUUUUUAUAAAGACGUUGAACAUCUUACAAACAUUUUAAUCCAAAUUUUUCUUCAGGACUGAAAUUUCUCAUUUGGGAAAGUUGUUCUUGUAUGUAACCAUUUGUACUUAUUUUUUGUAAUCAUUCCCUUUUAUGUAGACUGAAAUACAUAACCAUUAUAUAUUAUGAUCAUAAAACUUUAUUUUUAUUUUAUUCCUUUUUUUUAGUAGAAUUUAAUUUAUUAUUAUUAUUAAUUCCUAUUAUCUUUAUUUUCCGAUCAAUACGAGUGUAAAAGAGCAUACAAAAUGUCCAAAAAUGAUUGAAAUGUCAAAUAUUAAUAAAUAUGAAUCUGUAUUAUGCUUUAAUGUGGCCACUUUUAAACAUCUGUAUAAUAAAUAAUUAAAGGAAUAUAUCAUAUAUAUGUAAAUAUAUUUUGUAUGUAUUGUAUUUGACAUGUGGAGGUUGUAGCUUAGCGGUUAAGACAUUUGAGUUUGGAUCCGAAGGUCAUGAGUUCAAAUCCCGGCCACUCCUGGCGGCCACUCCUG
This is a long non-coding RNA of Silurus meridionalis, 2141 nucleotides long. RefSeq lists it as uncharacterized. The record is from RefSeq and is a predicted model, not a curated record. The transcript has 3 exons. Lineage: Eukaryota; Metazoa; Chordata; Actinopteri; Siluriformes; Siluridae.